AGAGUUUUCACUAACUCCAGUUGAUACCUCUCAAGAAAAUUCUUAUAGGCAAUUCAUUGGUUGGUUAAAAGAAAAGGUUGCAGGAUUACACAAAUGCAAUGAUAGUAAAAAAAAUGGCAGAUUUGCUCUCAUUGUCACGUGGUCCCACGCCAUACGUGACAAGUCAUCGCGGGUACCUUAUUAAUGAAUAUAGGUUUCACGUGAAAGAUUAAGAUAAAGGUUUGAGAACUCAGAACUGUGGGAUGGUUGUAGCUGGAGAGACAGAUGAAGAGAAUAAGAACAUUGAUUACUAUGGAGAACUAACAGAUAUACUAGAAUUACAAUUUACUGGUGGAGGAAGAAUAAUUUUAUUUCGAUGUACGUGUUUUGAUGUGUAUGACCAAGAAAAGGGGGUUAAAAUAGAUGAAUAUAGCUUUGUAAGUGUUAACCGCCAGCGAUUUCUGAAAACAACUGAGCCUUUUGUAUUAGCUAACCAAGCAUCACAAGUUUUUUACGUUGACGAUCUUUCCGAUAAAGGUUGGCAUGUUGUACAAAGUUCAACCUCGUGAUACUUUUGAGGUUUUGCAAGAAAAUAUUGAUGAUUUAGAGGAAUUAGAUCAUUCUUCACAACUGAAAAGAAAAAGAACUCAUGAAGGUUUGGAUAUUUAUCAACUCCUUUAUUUAAUUAGGCAACUCACUUAUGAUGAGGGAAGCUUUGUACUGGAUUCCAUUUGAUUUACAAGUUCAGAAAAAGAUUCUAAAACUAUACUAGUGGAUUUUCUCUUAACUGAUUAUAUGUUCUUAUAUGAUGAAUCUGACUUGUUAAAUAUUUGUUUAUCUCCAGGUUUCUAUGCGUCAUGUUUUUGUAAAUUAUCUUUAUUACUGUUGUCUAUGGUCAUGUAACUUCCUAGCUUCUUUCAUAGACCUUCAUAUGAUCAUAUAUGAUAAUACUGACAUUAUAGACAUCUAUUACUCAAUUUUUUUUUUGCUAGGUUGACAUGAAUCCAUCAAAAUAUCAAAAGUCUAAAAUGGAAUCAAGUUCGAAGACUGUUAAGUAUGUGUACGUUCCACCUGGUACCUUAGCAAGGGGGCGAGGACAGAGCUUCAGAGCAUUGGUUUCUGUAAGAGUAAAUGCUGAACAAAGAGGUUUGAUUGGAAAAGUGAUACUCUUUUUCCCCAUGAAGAAGAAGAGAUGCAGGGCACUCAGAGAAGUGAGAGGAACAAAUAGGUGUAAAAAAGUUGCAGGACUCAAAGUUGGAGAAAAGUUGCGCGUCACUUUCUAUCACAAUAGGGUUGUUGGGGAGCACCAUGCCUCAUUUACGUGACACUUAGGUAUAUUGGUCCGUGAUCGUAAUAUGCCCAUUGCGUGUACACUCAUGGGCAAACAUCGAAGAAUAUAAGCUACAACACAUGUGGGAAGCUGUUACGGACAAAUUUGACAGUGAUGACAUAAAUGAUCAACGAGAUCAUGUCUUGAAACAUAUGAGAAAGUUAUGGAAUAAUUGGAGAUGAUCGAUGCACAAGAAUAUUAAGUCUAAGCCAUUCUGUUAUGCUAUAAAAGAUGUUCCAAAAGUGGGUAGACAAGAGUGAUUGGGAAUGGUUAAUCAAGGAGCAUUUUUUUACUGAAAAAUUUAAGGAGACAAGUACAAGAAACUCGGUCAAUAGGUCUAAGUUGAGUAUGCCUCAUCGUACGGAUAGUAAACCAAUUAGGGAGAUAAUUUAUGAAUAGGAGGUAAAGAUGGUACUAGAUGUGGCAACUAUAUUUUCUAGAUUCGUAAGAAGAACAACAAGCUUGUCGAACCUGAAACCAAUGAGAAAUAUGAUAAAAUCAAAGAAUUGGUGCAAUCUGAAUCGUCUCUUACAAAUAUUGAGGUUGUAGAAAGGUGCUUCAGACCUCAACGAAAGAGUCAUGUAGUUGGAUUUGGUGGUGGGAUAAUCGCUAAGGAGUUGAAAGGUGGUAACUCCUCUAAAGCUGCAUUGUUGGAAAAGCUAAAUGCUACUGUAAAAGAAAAUGAAUCACUAAAAGGACGUUUGGAAGGGCUAAAGAGUAAAUAUGAUGAGCUAGGGAGUAAAUACGCACAACUUGCAAAGAUAGUGUUUGAUCAGCCUUCAUCACCAUCUUCAAGUGAUCAAUAAAUUGAAUCAUAUAACGGGUUAGUACAUUGAAAAAUCUAUUUUACUCUAUAAAGCGUACCUUUAUAGUAACCUAAUUUUAGUCCUUUUGGUUUCUUCCGCAUGCCUUAAGUUAAAUUGUCGAUUUGUGCGUUUGUAUUUUCCUGUUUCUUCUUGUAUGUUUUUAAUUUGUGGUGUAUCACCAUUAGACACUGUUUGAAGGAUAUUUAUUUAGAUUGUUCUAUGUGAAAAAGAAGAGCCAGUAAAUUGUAAUUUUUCUUUCUUCAAGGAAACAUUGAAGUCA
Molecule: long non-coding RNA, 2395 nt
Organism: Nicotiana attenuata
Lineage: Eukaryota; Viridiplantae; Streptophyta; Magnoliopsida; Solanales; Solanaceae
Exons: 7
Source: RefSeq, a predicted model, not a curated record